AUGCAAGUCGAACGAGAACGGUCCUUCGGGACUUAGUACAGCGGCGCACGGGUGAGUAACACGUGGGUAACCUGCCCAACAAUGGGGGAUAACAGCUCGAAAGGGCUGCUAAUACCGCAUACGACCCUAGGCUCCUUGGAGCUCUGGGUGAAAGGGGCCUUUGGCCUCGUUGUUGGAUGGGCCCGCGGACCAUUAGCUAGUUGGUGGGGUAAUGGCCUACCAAGGCUUCGAUGGUUAGCUGGUCUGAGAGGAUGAUCAGCCACACUGGAACUGAGACACGGUCCAGACUCCUACGGGAGGCAGCAGUGAGGAAUAUUGCGCAAUGGGCGAAAGCCUGACGCAGCAACGCCGCGUGUGUGAUGAAGGCCUUAGGGUUGUAAAGCACUGACCAGAGGGAAGAACAAGCGGGCUUAAUCUCCCGCCCUGACGGUACCUCUGAAGAAAGCACUGGCUAACUCCGUGCCAGCAGCCGCGGUAAUACGGAGAGUGCAAGCGUUGUUCGGAAUUACUGGGCGUAAAGGGCGUCUAGGUGGACCGGUAAGUCAGAUGUGAAAGCCCUCGGCUCAACCGAGGAAGUGCAUCUGAAACUACUGGACUUGAGUACUGGAGGGGACAGUGGAAUUCCUGGUGUAGAGGUGAAAUUCGUAGAUAUCAGGAGGAACACCAGUGGCGAAGGCGACUGUCUGGCCAAGUACUGACACUGAAGCGCGAAAGCGUGGGGAGCAAACAGGAUUAGAUACCCUGGUAGUCCACGCCGUAAACGAUGGGUACUAGUUAUGUCGGGUAUUGACCCCUGGCGUGACGAAGCUAACGCGUUAAGUACCCCGCCUGGGGAGUACGGCCGCAAGGUUAAAACUCAAAUGAAUUGACGGGGGCCCGCACAAGCGGUGAGCAUGUGUUUAUUCGAAGCACGCGCAGAACCUUACAUCCCUUGACUUCCUGUCGCGACUCAGAGAUGAGUCUUUCAGUAGCUGACAGUGACAGGUGCUGCAUGCUGUCGUCAGCUCGUGUCAUGAGAUGUCGUAGUCGCACGAGCGCACCCCUGUCUUAGUGCAUCAUUAGUGGACUCUAAGAGACUGGCGGUGAUAGCCGAGAGGUGGGACGACGCCAGUCUCAUGCUACGGAUGCUACCGGCUCAAUGCGGACAAUGAGUAUUUCAU
RNAcentral lists this ribosomal RNA (1160 nucleotides) under uncultured Pseudomonadota bacterium. Its description in RNAcentral is "bacterial SSU rRNA". It matches the Rfam family "Bacterial small subunit ribosomal RNA", at positions 55 to 1242 of the family's 1533-position model. Lineage: Bacteria; Pseudomonadati; Pseudomonadota. The record is from RNAcentral.